RNAcentral lists this ribosomal RNA (494 nucleotides) under uncultured bacterium. Its description in RNAcentral is "partial 16S ribosomal RNA". It matches the Rfam family "Bacterial small subunit ribosomal RNA", at positions 28 to 507 of the family's 1533-position model. The record is from RNAcentral.
GACGAACGCUGGCGGCGUGCUUAACACAUGCAAGUCGAACGGUGAAGCGCCUUCCUUUUUGGUGGGUGUGGGUGAGUGGCGAACGGGUGAGUAACACCUGAGUAACCUGCCCCCUUCUUCUGGAUAACCGCAUGAAAGUGUGGCUAAUACGGGAUAUUCUGGGUCUGUCGCAUGAUGGGUCUGUGAAAGAUAUUGUUUCGGUGGGGGGUGGGCUCGCGGCCUAUCAGCUUGUUGGUGGGGUGAUGGCCUACCAAGGCGGUGACGGGUAGCCGGCCUGAGAGGGUGGACGGUCACACUGGGACUGAGCCACGGCCCAGACUCCUACGGGAGGCAGCAGUGGGGAAUAGUGCACAAUGGGCGCAAGCCUGAUGCAGCGACGCCGCGUGAGGGAUGGAGGCCUUCGGGUUGUGAACCUCUUUCGCCAGUGAAGCAGGCCUGCCUCGUUUGUGGGUGGGUUGACGGUAGCUGGAUAAGAAGCGCCGGCUAACUACGUG